UAUCGUCUAUUUGAUAGUACCUUACUACUUGGAUAACCGUGGUAAUUCUAGAGCUAAUACAUGCUGAAAACCCCGACUUCGGAAGGGAUGUAUUUAUUAGAUUAAAAGCCAAUGCCCUUCGGGGCUCCCUGGUGAUUCAUGAUAACUGCUCGAAUCGCACGGCCUUGCGCCGGCGAUGGUUCAUUCAAAUUUCUGCCCUAUCAACUUUCGACGGCUGGGUCUUGGCCAGCCGUGGUGACAACGGGUAACGGAGGGUUAGGGCUCGACCCCGGAGAAGGAGCCUGAGAAACGGCUACUACAUCCAAGGAAGGCAGCAGGCGCGCAAAUUACCCAAUCCCGACGCGGGGAGGUAGUGACAAUAAAUACUGAUACAGGGCUCUUUUGGGUCUUGUAAUUGGAAUGAGUACAAUUUAAUUCCCUUAACGAGGAACAAUUGGAGGGCAAGUCU
RNAcentral lists this ribosomal RNA (448 nucleotides) under Raffaelea sp. S28. RNAcentral describes it as "SSU rRNA". It matches the Rfam family "Eukaryotic small subunit ribosomal RNA", at positions 111 to 562 of the family's 1831-position model. Lineage: Eukaryota; Fungi; Ascomycota; Sordariomycetes; Ophiostomatales; Ophiostomataceae. The record is from RNAcentral.